Molecule: ribosomal RNA, 412 nt
Filed under: uncultured Gammaproteobacteria bacterium
Lineage: Bacteria; Pseudomonadati; Pseudomonadota; Gammaproteobacteria
Description: bacterial SSU rRNA
Rfam family: Bacterial small subunit ribosomal RNA
Source: RNAcentral
GAGUUUGAUCCUGGCUCAGAGUGAACGCUGGCGGCAGGCCUAACACAUGCAAGUCGAGCGGCAGCGCGGGGGCAACCCUGGCGGCGAGCGGCGGACGGGUGAGGAAUGCAUCGGAAUCUACCUCGUUGUGGGGGAUAACCUCGGGAAACCGGGACUAAUACCGCAUACGACCUACGGGUGAAAGUGGGGGACCGCAAGGCCUCACGCGAUGAGAUGAGCCGAUGCCGGAUUAGCUAGUUGGCGGGGUAAAGGCCCACCAAGGCGACGAUCCGUAGCUGGUCUGAGAGGAUGAUCAGCCACACUGGAACUGAGACACGGUCCAGACUCCUACGGGAGGCAGCAGUGGGGAAUAUUGGACAAUGGGCGCAAGCCUGAUCCAGCCAUGCCGCGUGUGUGAAGAAGGCCUCGGUUG